This 445-nucleotide ribosomal RNA is filed under the name uncultured bacterium. RNAcentral's name for it is "bacterial SSU rRNA". It matches the Rfam family "Bacterial small subunit ribosomal RNA", at positions 354 to 796 of the family's 1533-position model. The record is from RNAcentral.
GUGAGGAAUAUUGGUCAAUGGGCGCAAGCCUGAACCAGCCAUGCCGCGUGCAGGAAGACGGUCCUAUGGAUUGUAAACUGCUUUUAUUUGGGAAUAAACUCCGGUACGUGUACCGGCCUGAAGGUACCAAAUGAAUAAGCACCGGCUAACUCCGUGCCAGCAGCCGCGGUAAUACGGAGGGUGCAAGCGUUAUCCGGAAUCAUUGGGUUUAAAGGGUCCGCAGGCGGUCUUAUAAGUCAGUGGUGAAAGCCUACAGCUCAACUGUAGAACUGCCAUUGAUACUGUAGGACUUGAAUUCGAUCGAAGUGGGCGGAAUGUGACAUGUAGCGGUGAAAUGCUUAGAUAUGUCACAGAACACCGAUAGCGAAGGCAGCUCACUAGGUCUGGAUUGACGCUCAGGGACGAAAGCGUGGGGAGCAAACAGGAUUAGAAACCCUUGUAGUCC